CUCGUAGGCGGUUUGUCGCGUCUGCUGUGAAAACGCGAGGCUCAACCUCGCGCCUGCAGUGGGUACGGGCAGACUAGAGUGCGGUAGGGGAGACUGGAAUUCCUGAUGUAGCGGUGGAAUGCGCAGAUAUCAGGAGGAACACCGGUGGCGAAGGCGGGUCUCUGGGCCGUUACUGACGCUGAGGAGCGAAAGCGUGGGGAGCGAACA
Molecule: ribosomal RNA, 207 nt
Filed under: uncultured bacterium
Lineage: Bacteria
Description: partial 16S ribosomal RNA
Rfam family: Bacterial small subunit ribosomal RNA
Source: RNAcentral